Molecule: ribosomal RNA, 1377 nt
Filed under: Pagurus filholi
Lineage: Eukaryota; Metazoa; Arthropoda; Malacostraca; Decapoda; Paguridae
Description: 16S ribosomal RNA
Rfam family: Bacterial large subunit ribosomal RNA (bases 844-1243)
Source: RNAcentral
UUAUAACUUAUUAUUAUAAUAAAUAUUUCGUAUGUUGUAAGAAAAAUAAUUUAAGUGAAAGAAGAGCGAGUAUUAAUUAAGAAAUUUAAAUAAAGAUAAUAGUUAAUAGUAUUGUAAAAGAAUGUUAAAAUAUUAUUAAAUAAUUAAAUAAAAUAAAUUCAAAUGUGCCUUGUGUAUCAUAAAAUAAUAAAUUGAUUUUUAUAUAAAUUAAUCCCGAAAAAGAGGUAGUUAAAUUAUUAAAAAAGUUUUUGUAUUAAUAAAAUUAAUAAUAAUAAUUUAGAGGUGAAAUGUCAGUCGAACUUUUAUAUCUGGUUUUAAAUAAAAUGAAUUUAAUUCAAGCUCUAUUAAUUAAAAUAGGGUUAAAGAGCAAAGGGGUGAGCUUUUUGUUCAAAUUGUAGAAUAAUAUAAAUUAAAAUGAAAAUUUAUUGAAAUUUAGGCUUAUAAGUAGCCAUCUUAAAAAAGUGUUUUAACUAAUACUUAGUAAUAUUUAAUAUUUAAAAUAAUUUUAUUAAAAUAAUUUAAAACUUUUAUAAAUAAUAAUAUAAAGAUUAUUAUGUUAUUAUUAGUAUAAUUUAUAUUAUUUAAAAUUUAUUUUAAUUUUUAAAAAGAUUAUAAAUUAAAUUGAUAUUUAAAAAGAACUCGGCAAAUAUGAUUCUUGCCUGUUUAACAAAAACAUGUCUAUAUGAAGGUGUAUAUAGUUUGGCCUGCUCACUGAUUGUAUUAAAGAGCCGCAGUAUUUUGACUGUGCGAAGGUAGCAUAAUAAAUUGUCUUUUAAAUGGAGGCUUGAAUGAAAGGUUGGACAAAGUGUCAUCUGUUUCUUAAAUAUUUAUUGAAUUUGACUUUCAAGUGAAAAGGCUUGAAUAAAUUAAAAAGACGAUAAGACCCUAUAAAUCUUUACAAUAAACAUAUUUUAUAUUUUUAUUUAUGAAGUGAAUAAAAUAUUAAGUUUGUAGUUGUUUCGCUGGGGCGGCGUAGAUAUAUAAAUGAACUGUCUAUAUUUUAAAUACAAUAAUUAUUGAUUAAUAAAAUUGAUCCUUAAAUAGAUUAAAAGAUUAAGAUACUUUAGGGAUAACAGCGUUAUUUUUUCUGAGAGUUCUUAUCGAAGAAAAAGUUUGCGACCUCGAUGUUGAAUUAAAGUAUCUUUAUGGUGCAGUCGCUAUAAGAGAGAGUCUGUUCGACUUUUAAUACUUUACAUGAUUUGAGUUCAGACCGGCGUGAGCAGGUUGGUUUCUAUCUUUUAUUAAAUAUAAAAUUAUUUUAGUACGAAAGGACCAAAUAAUUAAAAAAUUUUUAUAAUUUAGAAUAUUAAUAAAUCUUCUUAUUUAUUAAUCUGUAAAUUAAUAAUAUUAUAAAAUAGUAAGAGGAAAGCAUUAUAA